AUGAGGAGCUUGCUCUUCAAAUCGAGUGGCGGACGGGUGAGUAACGCGUGGGUAACCUGCCUCGUACUGGGGGAUAACAGUUAGAAAUAGCUGCUAAUACCGCAUAAGCGCACGGUUCCGCAUGGAACAGUGUGAAAAACUCCGGUGGUGUGAGAUGGACCCGCGUCUGAUUAGCUGGUUGGUGAGGUAACGGCUCACCAAGGCGACGAUCAGUAGCCGGCCUGAGAGGGUGAACGGCCACAUUGGGACUGAGACACGGCCCAAACUCC
RNAcentral lists this ribosomal RNA (269 nucleotides) under uncultured Eubacteriales bacterium. RNAcentral's name for it is "uncultured Clostridiales bacterium partial 16S ribosomal RNA". It matches the Rfam family "Bacterial small subunit ribosomal RNA", at positions 71 to 339 of the family's 1533-position model. The record is from RNAcentral. RNAcentral also lists the same sequence under 1 other name. Lineage: Bacteria; Bacillati; Bacillota; Clostridia; Eubacteriales.